RNAcentral lists this ribosomal RNA (492 nucleotides) under uncultured bacterium. RNAcentral's name for it is "partial 16S ribosomal RNA". It matches the Rfam family "Bacterial small subunit ribosomal RNA", at positions 29 to 507 of the family's 1533-position model. The record is from RNAcentral.
AGUGAACGCUGGCGGUAGGCCUAACACAUGCAAGUCGAACGGCAGCACAGUAAGAGCUUGCUCUUACGGGUGGCGAGUGGCGGACGGGUGAGGAAUACAUCGGAAUCUACUUUUUCGUGGGGGAUAACGUAGGGAAACUUACGCUAAUACCGCAUACGACCUACGGGUGAAAGCAGGGGAUCUUCGGACCUUGCGCGAUUGAAUGAGCCGAUGUCGGAUUAGCUAGUUAGCGGGGUAAAGGCCCACCAAGGCGACGAUCCGUAGCUGGUCUGAGAGGAUGAUCAGCCACACUGGAACUGAGACACGGUCCAGACUCCUACGGGAGGCAGCAGUGGGGAAUAUUGGACAAUGGGCGCAAGCCUGAUCCAGCCAUACCGCGUGGGUGAAGAAGGCCUUCGGGUUGUAAAGCCCUUUUGUUGGGAAAGAAAAGCAGCAGGUUAAUACCCCGCUGUUCCGACGGUACCCAAAGAAUAAGCACCGGCUAACUUCGUG